GUACAUAUUAUAUUUACAGUUUUACAUUUACAGUUUUGCACAUCCUCUAUAUCUAAUAGAGGUGGAGAAACAUCGAUGACAUCGAUGUUUUCGAAACAUCGAUGCUUGGCGGGGCAACAUCGAUGUUUUUCCAUCUCUAGGGCACAUAGAGGAAGACAUUUGAAUUUUAUACUUGUUGGUGGUGUUGACGUGAGUGUGGUGGUACUUAAACAUGGACAGGUUUUUGAACCACCUUUAAUUUCACUACGAAAAACGAAGACACACUGAAGCAAAACCCGGCUGCUUUGACUGCCGAACUGACCUUCUUUUAUUCAUACCCUGCAAUACCGAUUGUCAUCAAUAGGCCACUGUCAUGAACAUGUCAUCAAC
Long non-coding RNA from Drosophila serrata, 369 nucleotides. Lineage: Eukaryota; Metazoa; Arthropoda; Insecta; Diptera; Drosophilidae. The record is from RefSeq and is a predicted model, not a curated record.